This is a long non-coding RNA of Amphiprion ocellaris (clown anemonefish), 3027 nucleotides long. RefSeq lists it as uncharacterized. The transcript has 3 exons. The record is from RefSeq and is a predicted model, not a curated record. NCBI's taxonomy places the organism in Eukaryota, Metazoa, Chordata, Actinopteri, Pomacentridae.
UUCAUUUAAAAAAUUAAGAUUAUUUUAUUGAAUACAGACUCACUGCUGAAUCAUUUUCAUGCCGAAUUACACAGAAGGCUCUACUCAUUCAUGUUUUAUAUCAUUUUAGUCGUAUUAUGUGAUUUAACUUGUCACUGAGCUUAGAAACAAGAAUUGACACAUUUUUGAACGGAGUCUGGUGUCUCUAACUCACCGUCCAGGGAAACGAAGGAAGGCGGCUCAUUGCGAAAAACGACACUUGGAAGUCCUUUAAAAUAGCUUCAGAUUUUAAUAAUCUGUUCUCUGAGGUUUGACUCUGCUCUGAAUGCGCCAUGUUCAACGUGCUUUUGUUUACUUCCGGUUUAGCCACAAUCCACCGCGAUGAUCUGUCGCUAAAGCUACUGGGUAAUGUAGUUUCUUACUAGUUUUACGCUAUUUAAAUAGUAAAAUCAAGAAAAACGAUUAAUAUUUAUUUUUACACUUAGAAAUAUUAGUAGAAAUGUUAAUUGAAGUUAUUUAUUUUACUAUUUUUAAAAAUUUGAUUUAUUUAGCAAAUACUUCAAAAGCAACUAUUGGUAGUAAUAUUUUUUAAAUAUAUUUAGUAUUAUUACACUUUUAACUAUUACUAUUACUUCCCUUUUAUGUCUAAUUAUGGAUUUAAGUAACCAACAAACAUCUCAAAAACAACAUAUAGAUUGCAAAUGUGUAAAACAGUCAAUGCAAACAUUUCAAAGACAACAGAAAUAAAUUAGAAAAGUAUAAAACACUUCGAUUUAAAUAAAACAGUCUGGUAACACAAUAAAAAAGUAAUCCAAAAUAAAUAUGAAUACAAUAAAUAUGAUUAUUAUUUUCAAUUAUCAUGUUUAGCAUUUUUGAAAUAAUGACAAUAAUUAUUGCUACCAUAAAAUUAUAUUUAUAUGUUGUUAAAAAAUAUUGAUGCUAUUAAUUUUAAGUGAUUAUUUAUUAAAAUCUCUCUUUUUUCCAAAUUAUGAAUGAAAAAUCAAACACGUAAAACACUUAGACUGUGUAUAAAAUAUAAUACAUGAAGAAUUUUUCCAAUCUUCAGGAACUAAAAAAGAAAAUAAAUGAAUAAUGAUUAAACAUAGAUAAUUUUCUCAACUUGAAAACUGACCUUUAAGAAUCUACAUUCAUAUUUAAAUAGUAACACACACAAAGAUGUUUUAGCCUUGAAAUGGUUUAACGUUGUUAUCAGUUCAGAGUAUUUUUGUUAUUUUUAGUCUGUUGAAGGUUUUCUUGCCGCUCUUUUCUUGCUGUGUCACUGCAGGUCGAGAUAAAUCUCUUUACAGUUGGACCAACUCCUCAUUCAGGGCAGCAGCAGAACAGAGCAGUUACUGCUCAAUAUCUGACCACAGUUUCCGUCCUCCUGCUCUAUAAAACCAGCCGUCUUACUCUGAUCCCGGUUGAGGACCUCGCAGGUGAAGCCCGUCUUCCCCAUCUGGCGCCUGAUCUGGAGCCAGCGCUGCUGGGGGAAGAUGGUGCUGAGGUCCCUCAGGAAGCUCUCCAUGCCCUCCUGGCCCUCUUUGGGUAAACUCCAGGAGCCCAGCACCGACAGCUCCACCCCGCUCUGGGCCUGCAUCUGGGGGAGGAAGACGGAGGGAGGCCGAAGGUUUUUAGUUUGGUUCAUCUCCAAUGUUGUUCAGAAAAGAGACACAACUUGUUAAAGAUCAGAAGUUAGAGCUGUGAGCUGAACAUCUGGGAGUUUUAAACAUCAGCAGGUAAAUCAAACUAACGUUCACAUGCCGUCGUGGUCAAAUCAUCUACAAACACCUCCCACCUCAGCCAGACUUUCUAUCAUUAAACCACUGAGUGACUGUAAACAUUUAACCUCCUCCUGCUGCUGCACCGACCUGCUGGACGUACUGUUUGACCUGUCCGGGGAUGAAGGGGUAGUGGAUCACCGCCAGCACCACGGCCGAGUCGUGGCCGGAGAUCCAGCGGCCGACCAGCAGCCCGCUGUCGGCCCGGUUACAGCACUGAGGGAAGAAGAUCUUCAGCACCAUGACGUCUGCAGCUUCAGCCUCCAGCAGCUCCAAAGAUCUGAGAAACAAUAACCAGGAGACAGUUAAUGAUUAAAAGGUAACAGCAACCGCAAGAACGGAGCAAUGUAAGACUUCAUUUUCAUGGUAUUUGUAUUAUUUUGUUAGUCUAUUUUAAAUUACUUUAUCCUUUUGUAUUUAUUUAACAUUACUAUUUUAAAUUUUACCCUUGUUUUUAUGGUUCUACCCACUAUUUUCUCUCAUUCUGCCAAAUUUUAUAUGGAUUUUUGGUGCUUUUACUGGUGUAUUUGUGUCCAUUUGUGAUAUUGAUUUUUUAAAAAAGUAUUUUAUCCAGUUUAACUCUGCUAUAUACUAUUAUCUUCCAAAAGAUAAACAUAUUUUCUUAUGAUUUAAGCUUUGGAUUUGAACUUCUAAAUGAAAAAAUGAAGGAUAAAGACAACUGUUAUUGUUUUUAAGUCUUCUUUAAACUUCUUGAAAUUCAUUUUCUUACAGGAUUUCAUUUCAUCUUAGCUGCUUUGAAGAGUUUUUUUCAAGCAACAAGUGAGCCCCAUGAGAGCUGAACAUUAAGCUACAACAAAAAAUGUAUAUAAGGCUCAAUAUUGUUUGAAAAAUGGACUCAGUGGAAAAAGUUCCAGUACUUUCUGAAGUGUUAGAGCAAAUAUUGUUGGCAGAAAUUGAUGUUAUUGACCUGUAAGUGAGGCCUAACAAGAAAUUUGACUUUUUGAAUAUAAAUUCCACCUUUAAAUAUGUAUUUAUUAGGUUCGGUUUACUUAGUACAUGAUCUGGCUGUCUGAUGAUAUAAUACACUUGUGCUGUUUGUAUUGUUUUAUUUCUGUGUAUUUUCUUGGUGAGUUUUGUGAAUUGCAUUUUGUGCAUUUUGCUGUUCCUUAUUUAAAUCACUCAAGUAAAUUUGUAAAAUGGAAAAUAUAGUUUGACCUUAACCACAAAAUGUACACUAGUCAGAUAAAGUCGUAAUGUUAUAAAAUAACGGUUUAAAUGUGCUGUAUAAAUAAAAGGGACUUGACUUUAA